This 1541-nucleotide ribosomal RNA is filed under the name Salmonella enterica. Its description in RNAcentral is "bacterial SSU rRNA". It matches the Rfam family "Bacterial small subunit ribosomal RNA". The record is from RNAcentral. Lineage: Bacteria; Pseudomonadati; Pseudomonadota; Gammaproteobacteria; Enterobacterales; Enterobacteriaceae.
AAAUUGAAGAGUUUGAUCAUGGCUCAGAUUGAACGCUGGCGGCAGGCCUAACACAUGCAAGUCGAACGGUAACAGGAAGCAGCUUGCUGCUUUGCUGACGAGUGGCGGACGGGUGAGUAAUGUCUGGGAAACUGCCUGAUGGAGGGGGAUAACUACUGGAAACGGUGGCUAAUACCGCAUAACGUCGCAAGACCAAAGAGGGGGACCUUCGGGCCUCUUGCCAUCAGAUGUGCCCAGAUGGGAUUAGCUAGUUGGUGAGGUAACGGCUCACCAAGGCGACGAUCCCUAGCUGGUCUGAGAGGAUGACCAGCCACACUGGAACUGAGACACGGUCCAGACUCCUACGGGAGGCAGCAGUGGGGAAUAUUGCACAAUGGGCGCAAGCCUGAUGCAGCCAUGCCGCGUGUAUGAAGAAGGCCUUCGGGUUGUAAAGUACUUUCAGCGGGGAGGAAGGUGUUGUGGUUAAUAACCGCAGCAAUUGACGUUACCCGCAGAAGAAGCACCGGCUAACUCCGUGCCAGCAGCCGCGGUAAUACGGAGGGUGCAAGCGUUAAUCGGAAUUACUGGGCGUAAAGCGCACGCAGGCGGUCUGUCAAGUCGGAUGUGAAAUCCCCGGGCUCAACCCGGGAACUGCAUUCGAAACUGGCAGGCUUGAGUCUUGUAGAGGGGGUAGAAUUCCGGUGUAGCGGUGAAAUGCGUAGAGAUCUGGAGGAAUACCGGUGGCGAAGGCGGCCCCCUGGACAAAGACUGACGCUCAGGUGCGAAAGCGUGGGGAGCAAACAGGAUUAGAUACCCUGGUAGUCCACGCCGUAAACGAUGUCUACUUGGAGGUUGUGCCCUUGAGGCGUGGCUUCCGGAGCUAACGCGUUAAGUAGACCGCACCGGGGAGUACGGCCGCAAGGUUAAAACUCAAAUGAAUUGACGGGGGCCCGCACAAGCGGUGGAGCAUGUGGUUUAAUUCGAUGCAACGCGAAGAACCUUACCUGGUCUUGACAUCCACAGAACUUUCCAGAGAUGGAUUGGUGCCUUCGGGAACUGUGAGACAGGUGCUGCAUGGCUGUCGUCAGCUCGUGUUGUGAAAUGUUGGGUUAAGUCCCGCAACGAGCGCAACCCUUAUCCUUUGUUGCCAGCGGUCCGGCCGGGAACUCAAAGGAGACUGCCAGUGAUAAACUGGAGGAAGGUGGGGAUGACGUCAAGUCAUCAUGGCCCUUACGACCAGGGCUACACACGUGCUACAAUGGCGCAUACAAAGAGAAGCGACCUCGCGAGAGCAAGCGGACCUCAUAAAGUGCGUCGUAGUCCGGAUUGGAGUCUGCAACUCGACUCCAUGAAGUCGGAAUCGCUAGUAAUCGUGGAUCAGAAUGCCACGGUGAAUACGUUCCCGGGCCUUGUACACACCGCCCGUCACACCAUGGGAGUGGGUUGCAAAAGAAGUAGGUAGCUUAACCUUCGGGAGGGCGCUUACCACUUUGUGAUUCAUGACUGGGGUGAAGUCGUAACAAGGUAACCGUAGGGGAACCUGCGGUUGGAUCACCUCCUUA